GAUCCUGUAGCUCAGCUGGUAGAGCACAUCACUUUUAAUGAUGUGGCCCUGGGUUCGAAUCCCAGCGGGAUCA
This 73-nucleotide transfer RNA is filed under the name Bacteroidota bacterium. Its description in RNAcentral is "Bacteroidetes bacterium tRNA-Lys". It matches the Rfam family "tRNA". From Rfam's summary of the family: Transfer RNA (tRNA) molecules are approximately 80 nucleotides in length. Lineage: Bacteria; Pseudomonadati; Bacteroidota. RNAcentral also lists the same sequence under 2 other names. The record is from RNAcentral.